RNAcentral lists this ribosomal RNA (1760 nucleotides) under Salmonella enterica. RNAcentral describes it as "partial 23S ribosomal RNA". It matches the Rfam family "Bacterial large subunit ribosomal RNA", at positions 1059 to 2802 of the family's 2925-position model. The record is from RNAcentral. Lineage: Bacteria; Pseudomonadati; Pseudomonadota; Gammaproteobacteria; Enterobacterales; Enterobacteriaceae.
UUAAGUGGGAAACGAUGUGGGAAGGCCCAGACAGCCAGGAUGUUGGCUUAGAAGCAGCCAUCAUUUAAAGAAAGCGUAAUAGCUCACUGGUCGAGUCGGCCUGCGCGGAAGAUGUAACGGGGCUAAACCAUGCACCGAAGCUGCGGCAGCGACACUAUGUGUUGUUGGGUAGGGGAGCGUUCUGUAAGCCUGUGAAGGUGGCCUGUGAGGGUUGCUGGAGGUAUCAGAAGUGCGAAUGCUGACAUAAGUAACGAUAAAGCGGGUGAAAAGCCCGCUCGCCGGAAGACCAAGGGUUCCUGUCCAACGUUAAUCGGGGCAGGGUGAGUCGACCCCUAAGGCGAGGCCGAAAGGCGUAGUCGAUGGGAAACGGGUUAAUAUUCCCGUACUUGGUGUUACUGCGAAGGGGGGACGGAGAAGGCUAUGUUGGCCGGGCGACGGUUGUCCCGGUUUAAGCGUGUAGGUGUGUGUUCCAGGUAAAUCCGGUUCACUUUAACACUGAGGCGUGAUGACGAGGCACUACGGUGCUGAAGCAACAAAUGCCCUGCUUCCAGGAAAAGCCUCUAAGCAUCAGGUAACAUCAAAUCGUACCCCAAACCGACACAGGUGGUCAGGUAGAGAAUACCAAGGCGCUUGAGAGAACUCGGGUGAAGGAACUAGGCAAAAUGGUGCCGUAACUUCGGGAGAAGGCACGCUGACAUGUAGGUGAAGUGAUUUACUCAUGGAGCUGAAGUCAGUCGAAGAUACCAGCUGGCUGCAACUGUUUAUUAAAAACACAGCACUGUGCAAACACGAAAGUGGACGUAUACGGUGUGACGCCUGCCCGGUGCCGGAAGGUUAAUUGAUGGGGUCAGCGCAAGCGAAGCUCCUGAUCGAAGCCCCGGUAAACGGCGGCCGUAACUAUAACGGUCCUAAGGUAGCGAAAUUCCUUGUCGGGUAAGUUCCGACCUGCACGAAUGGCGUAAUGAUGGCCAGGCUGUCUCCACCCGAGACUCAGUGAAAUUGAACUCGCUGUGAAGAUGCAGUGUACCCGCGGCAAGACGGAAAGACCCCGUGAACCUUUACUAUAGCUUGACACUGAACAUUGAGCCUUGAUGUGUAGGAUAGGUGGGAGGCUUUGAAGUGUGGACGCCAGUCUGCAUGGAGCCGACCUUGAAAUACCACCCUUUAAUGUUUGAUGUUCUAACGUGGACCCGUAAUCCGGGUUGCGGACAGUGUCUGGUGGGUAGUUUGACUGGGGCGGUCUCCUCCUAAAGAGUAACGGAGGAGCACGAAGGUUGGCUAAUCCUGGUCGGACAUCAGGAGGUUAGUGCAAUGGCAUAAGCCAGCUUGACUGCGAGCGUGACGGCGCGAGCAGGUGCGAAAGCAGGUCAUAGUGAUCCGGUGGUUCUGAAUGGAAGGGCCAUCGCUCAACGGAUAAAAGGUACUCCGGGGAUAACAGGCUGAUACCGCCCAAGAGUUCAUAUCGACGGCGGUGUUUGGCACCUCGAUGUCGGCUCAUCACAUCCUGGGGCUGAAGUAGGUCCCAAGGGUAUGGCUGUUCGCCAUUUAAAGUGGUACGCGAGCUGGGUUUAGAACGUCGUGAGACAGUUCGGUCCCUAUCUGCCGUGGGCGCUGGAGAACUGAGGGGGGCUGCUCCUAGUACGAGAGGACCGGAGUGGACGCAUCACUGGUGUUCGGGUUGUCAUGCCAAUGGCACUGCCCGGUAGCUAAAUGCGGAAGAGAUAAGUGCUGAAAGCAUCUAAGCACGAAACUUGCCCCGA